CUGGGAUGGGCAUUGUGAGGCAUUGGGGGUGCUGUGGGGCUGGACAUGGUGAGUCACUAGCCUGACCUGGCUGUUUCCUGGUAACCAGGUGACAUAGGAAGCUUUGUGGGUUAUAGGCAUUAGCCAGGCCAGCAGCCUUCAGUCGGUAGCUGGCAGUGGAGGGAGGAGGAGGAGCUCCGACUGUGCUCUUUGACGGCAGUUUUUGUGCCUCUUGGCGCUUGUCGUGUGUUUCUCUUUGAAGUAAAACAGUAGGUCCCUGACCUCAUAGACCAUCCAGUUUGGGAGGUGGUGGCAGACUACGGGCUGAGGCCCCAGAUUUGCCUGGGGUCAGGCUGCUUCUACAAGUGCAGGGCCACCCUCAGUAGUGUGGCUGCCAGGGCAGCACAGUUACAAUUUCAUCGAAGGCUCAGGCAGGAGUGGAGAGGAGUGUAGGUGCCCCACGGGGAAUAUACUGACCUGUUGUGUGUGCCCCAAAGUCAGCUCCAACUGUGGCUGGCCCAGGGGGAAGGUGGCAUCCAGUUAUGAAUCUGAUAUUUAUGAGGCCGUGGCUGCUGCAACAUCAGAAUCCACUACUGUAGAGCCUGGCAAGCUGGAUGUGGGAGCCACGGAGGGCCAAGACCUGCAGCACAUCAGCAACCAAAAGAUGCCCACAGCUUCUGUUCUGGACCUGGAAGAUAUAGCGCUUGAUAUUGUGGAGGAGGUGUUAUCUGAAAUGGUCCCCCUGAGGACCGCCUGAGUUUAAAACUUCUACCACCAGGUGGGGAAGAC
RNAcentral lists this long non-coding RNA (768 nucleotides) under Gorilla gorilla gorilla (western lowland gorilla). RNAcentral describes it as "lncRNA (ENSGGOG00000044544.1)". The record is from RNAcentral. Lineage: Eukaryota; Metazoa; Chordata; Mammalia; Primates; Hominidae.